This 2112-nucleotide ribosomal RNA is filed under the name uncultured crenarchaeote. Its description in RNAcentral is "bacterial SSU rRNA". The stretch from base 1 to 1373 matches the Rfam family "Archaeal small subunit ribosomal RNA". The record is from RNAcentral. Lineage: Archaea; Thermoproteati; Thermoproteota.
AGUCAACAUGCCCAGGGGACGUGGACAACCUCGGGAAACUGAGGAUAAACCGCGAUAAGUCACUACUUCUGGAAUGGGUAAUGACUCAAAUCUACAUGGCCCCUGGAUUGGACUGCGGCCGAUCAGGCUGUUGGUGAGGUAAUGGCCCACCAAACCUGUAACCGGUACGGGCUCUGAGAGGAGGAGCCCGGAGAUGGGCACUGAGACAAGGGCCCAGGCCCUAUGGGGCGCAGCAGGCGCGAAACCUCUGCAAUAGGCGAAAGCCUGACAGGGUUACUCUGAGUGAUUUCCGUUAAGGAGAUCUUUUGGCACCUCUAAAAAUGGUGCAGAAUAAGGGGUGGGCAAGUCUGGUGUCAGCCGCCGCGGUAAUACCAGCACCCCGAGUGGUCGGGACGUUUAUUGGGCCUAAAGCAUCCGUAGCCGGUUCUACAAGUCUUCCGUUAAAUCCACCUGCUUAACAGACGGGCUGCGGAAGAUACUAUAGAGCUAGGAGGCGGGAGAGGCAAGCGGUACUCGAUGGGUAGGGGUAAAAUCCGUUGAUCCAUUGAAGACCACCAGUGGCGAAGGCGGCUUGCCAGAACGCGCUCGACGGUGAGGGAUGAAAGCUGGGGGAGCAAACCGGAUUAGAUACCCGGGUAGUCCCAGCUGUAAACGAUGCAGACUCGGUGAUGAGUUGGCUUCUCGCCAACUCAGUGCCGCAGGGAAGCCGUUAAGUUUGCCGCCUGGGGAGUACGGUCGCAAGACUGAAACUUAAAGGAAUUGGCGGGGGAGCACCACAAGGGGUGAAGCCUGCGGUUCAAUUGGAGUCAACGCCGGAAAUCUUACCGGGGGCGACAGCAGAAUGAAGGUCAAGCUGAAGACUUUACCAGACAAGCUGAGAGGAGGUGCAUGGCCGUCGCCAGCUCGUGCCGUGAGGUGUCCUGUUAAGUCAGGUAACGAGCGAGACCCCUGCCUCUAGUUGCUACCAUUAUUCUCAGGAGUAGUGGAGCUAAUUAGAGGGACUGCCGUCGCUGAGACGGAGGAAGGAGGGGGCUACGGCAGGUCAGUAUGCCCCGAAACCCUCGGGCCACACGCGGGCUGCAAUGGUAAGGACAAUGAGUAUCGAUUCCGAAAGGAGGAGGCAAUCUCUAAACCUUACCACAGUUAUGAUUGAGGGCUGAAACUCGCCCUCAUGAAUAUGGAAUCCCUAGUAACCGCGUGUCACUAUCGCGCGGUGAAUACGUCCCUGCUCCUUGCACACACCGCCCGUCGCUUCAUCGAAGUUGGUUCUUGGCGAGGUGAUGCCUAAUUGGUACUAUCGAACCUGGGGUCAGCAACGAGGGAGAAGUCGUAACAAGGUGGCCGUAGGGGAACCUGCGGCCGGAUCACCUCCUUAGUUAUCAUACCUUGCAACUCUUUGUUGUUGUUUGAGAACAAAAAAACAAAAGUCGAUAAGAAAAUAACUAACUUUAAGAUUGAUUGGCUCUGUUGUUGCAGUAAUAGUUAUCAUUAUUGUUAUUGUAAAUAAUCAUCAUGUUGCAAUAAUAGUAGCUAUAUUGAAUUGAAUGCAUAUUAAAUAUAAAAUAAUUUAAAUUUCAUUUCAGUUGUUAACAUACAAAAUUAAUAUCUGUGUAAAUAUUAUAGUAGAGAACAAUAGCAAAAACAAUAAUUAACCAAUCUAAGAAAUAGAAAAAUGUAUGAUUAUAAAAUAAUUGUAUAAUUUUAUAUAAUCGUAGAGCUAGAUAUAUUGUCUAUCUGAUCAUUUUAUAUGUAGUACAGAGUCGGCAUAAGAACAAACACGGAUGCAAUUCUUUGUCAGAGAAACAGACUGAGGAGUUUGAAGACAAAGGAUGAAGAUGGCGUAGUAACGAGUUUACAAUGAUCGUCGUGUAUAGGAUCAAAAACCAUUAAAAUUUCAAUAUAUAGUAAAGCAAAUAAACAGAUAAUUAAAUUUAGAAAUUCGCGCAGAAAUAAAAUAGUAUUGAAAUUAGUGAAUAAUGUAUAUCUGGUUGUAGUGCAGAGUAAAAAAUUAAAAAAAAAUUAAUCCAUAGACAAUUAAAAUAAAUUGUUAAUACCAUCAAUUAAAUAAAAAAAACGAACUGGAACUGGUGCAAAGACGCCGAUUGGUGGAUG